UCCUUCCUCUUCUGUAGCUUGUUCGGAGUCGCCCAUUCGCAUCUUCCCCCUCCCUAUCACCACCAUCACCACGUCAGUGUACGCGUAAGUGAUCCACACCACACCCCCGGCUUCGCGCAUACACCACAGAGCGGCACCACUCGCUGCACUCCUCGAAUUGCCAAAAAACAACUUCGGAUCCGGAGGCAAGAUGCCGCGUCGCGCGCGCGAGGAGAGUGAGGAGGAGAAACCGCACCGCAUCACGAAGCUCGCCGGCAGCAUCGACGACGAUGUGCCGGUGAAGGCGUCGAAGAUCUCCGCCAAGGCGUCGGACCACGGCAACGGCGUUGCUGUAGAGAAACGGAAGCGCACGGAGGGGAGCUGCAAGGUUGCUGUCACUUCGGCGACGGCACCGGCGGAGGAGAAGGACGAGGAGGUGCCGAACAACGGCUGCGCCGCCACAGCGCGCCCGUUCUCGGAGUUCGAGAUGAACCCCAUCGUCGUCAAGGCGCUGCAGUCACGCGGCAUCGAGUCUAUGUUUCCUGUGCAGGCUCUCACCUUUAACGCCAUCAUGAGGAACACGGACGUCCUCGUGCAGGCCCGCACCGGCAGCGGCAAGACACUCGCGUUCGGUAUCCCGAUCGUGGAGCGGCUGCUGAAGCUGCCGAGCCACUUCACCCGCGGCCGCGGCCCGGCUGCCGUGAUCUUCUGCCCUACUCGUGAGCUGGCCAUCCAGGUGCAGGAUGUGCUCUGCGGGAUCAGCUGCGGGCUCGUCGUGACGGCCCUGUACGGCGGUGUUGCCUACGCGAAUCAGGAGCGCGUGCUGCGCAGCGGCGUCGACAUUGUGGUGGCCACCCCCGGCCGCGCGAAGGACUUUCUAGAGAAGGGCACGCUGCAUUUUGACCGCGUUGUGAUGGCGUGCCUGGACGAGGCGGACCACAUGCUGGACAUCGGCUUCAAGGACGACAUUGAGUUGCUGCUCUCGCAGGUGGCCGAGCAGAACGGCUCUGUCGGCGCUGAAAGGCCAGUUCAUCAGACGCUGCUGUUCUCCGCGACGGUGCCGGAGUGGGUGCACACGUGCUCCUUCAUCGCCAAGGACAAGGAGUUCAUCGACAUGGUCGGCAAGGAGGCUGUGCGGACAGCGAGCACGAUCAAGUUCUAUCGCAGAAAAUGCAACUUCAGCGAGAUCUCCUCUAUGCUCGCUGAUCUCAUCAAGGUGUACAGCGGUGCCCACGGCCGCACUCUCGUCUUCACCAACACAAAGAAGGACUGCCACGACUUGUCCAUCAACAACACCAAACUGGACUCGCAGUGCCUGCACGGUGAUAUGCAGCAGGAGCAGCGCGAGAGUACCAUGAAGAGCUUCCGCGACAACAAGUUCAGCGUCCUCAUCGCCACCGACGUGGCGGCCCGCGGUCUCGACCUGCCCAUGGUGGACCUGGUUAUUCAGUGCGCUCCACCGAGCGACAUCGACGCUUUCAUUCACCGCGCCGGCCGUACGGGACGCGCUGGCCGCAAGGGUGUGUGCGUGCUGCUCUACCAACCGCGCGAGGAGUACGUUGUCGAGCGCAUCGAGCGCCACGCGAAAAUGAAGUUUGACGUCCUGCCGGCACCCACGCGUGAAGAGAUUCUCAAGGCCGUCGCCCGUGAUGCCGCUGAGGACCUGGCGCGCGUCGAGCGCCGUGCAACCGACCUCUUCAUGGAUCAGGCAGCCGAGCUGCUGAAGGACGCAGACCCAGUCGAAAUCCUGGCCUCGGCGCUCGCCGUCAUGAGCGGCUACACGUCGAACAUCACCACGCGCGGUCUCAUUACUGGCACGCCAGGGUAUGUGACGGUGCAGAUGACGUCGGAUCGACCGCUGCCCGUUCCGGUGUACUGCAGCAUCCUCCGAAACAACCUCGGCGAUGAAACGUUCAUGCGGUGCCGCGACAUUACACUGUUGCAGGACGACCCGGGCUGCGUCUUCGAUGUGCUGGAGCAGUUUGCCGAGCGUGUCAUGAGCACACCGAUGCGCGGUAUCACCUUCCAGCGGAUCGAGACCCUUCCUCCGAUCAUCGCGCGCGAGCUCAACAGCAGCCGCGGCGGUCGCAGUGGCUUUAACUACGGAGGCGGUCGCGGUGGCUUCAAUAACGGCGGCGGCUACGGCAGUGGGCGUGGUGGCUUCGGCGGCUACGGGGGGGGUCGCGGCGGCGGUCGCGGCGGUGGGCGUGGUGGCGGUUUCCAGCGCCGCUACUGAUGCGGUGAUGCGCCGAUAUUUAGCAGCGUUGAAUGAGUAGGAUCAAGUGCGGUUUGCUCGGGCGCCUGUGUGCGUCUGUCUCUCUCUCUCUUCCUCCUCAGUACCGCACAUCUCCGUCGGGAUGAAGGGGCGAUGGGGGACGCCUCAGUGCGCCGUAUCUCAGAGUCCAGCACCCCCCCCUCCCCAGUCGCUGCGUUGGAAAGCCGGGCAGCCCUCCUAUGUCCCUGCCACGUGCCGAGCCGCUUCUGGUGGUGACGGGGCCAGGCGCCAACACUGCUGAAAACGACUGAGCGAUGUGCCGCUGGUGGUGUCGGCGGUCAGGUCCUGGACGGCGCUGCGUCGGAGCGACCUGCGACCGUGUGAGCGCGCUUGUGCCAUCCAUGCGAUCAGGCCGAGUGCCAGCGUGUCUCGUCCGGCCCCGACACUGCCUGCUGGUGUGGGGAACGCGAACCCCCCCCCCCGACAGCAGCACCAGGUGCUGACCAGCGUGAUGGAAGCGGCUGCGAGGCGACCUGCGAGACGGUGGCGGGCGGAGAGGUUGAGGCAGGGGCCGCUCACAGAUGGCCGCGUCAGCGCAUGUGGUGCAACGCUUGUGUGCCGCUGCGUGGCACCGCGCGGACGGGGUCUUGCGUGGGAGUGAGAUGGAGGGGGGUUGCAUUCCUGUGCGAUGACGAGAGAGACGCGUUGAGAAAACAGUCGGUUCUUUCUUGUGUGUUCGACGCUUACUGCACCUGUUCCUGUCCCCUGCCUACAUUACCCCCCCCUCCCCACACACCCUUCUCGUCCUUGUGUGGCGGGUGGGAGUCAUGUCUUCCCACCGGCGGUGUCUUUCCUGUUGUAUUUCGGUCUCUCUGUACGCGUCUUGAUGGUUCGUAUUUUCUGUGUAACAAGGAUCGGAUGCUGUUGUGUGUGCGCUAAGGAAACGGUUUUGAAGUAACACCUCACGCGAAGGAGGGAGACCGUUGCACCGUGGCAGGUUACCCCGUCCUCCAGCUUCGUUUAAACAACCGAUAAGAAAGCACUCGCUAAAAUCUGAACACUAGAAAACAAUCAUGAUGACGUGUCGGCGUGCGACGAGAAUGUGUGCAGCCGUUGUCCUCUGCAUCCUUUCUCCCCACCCCACUCCCCCACUACCCGUGUGAGUCACCUGCGUAUCUGUACUGCACCGCAAGGGGGUCGAUGCUCAUGCUCACACACUUUCAUUUUUCGAUAUGUGUGUGUGUGUGUGUACAUGGCGAAUACCGCCGAUCUCGGGGGAGGUGGAGGGGGAGGAAGGGAAAGACGUGAGCACCCGCAUCGCUUGCUAUUGUGUGGUUUGCGGACCUCCCGCGUGCAGACACAUACACAUAUAGAGGCGUGCACGGACUUCUCCUGGGGACUCUUGAGCACCCUCAUCGGGUGUCACCCUUCUGUAUGCCGACCCUCUCGCACCCUUCACCCUCCCCUUCGUCCCUGGGUCUUCUCCCCUGUUUCCGCUGCUGGCACGAGGUUGGCCAGCGGGCUCGUCAGCAAAACAACGGUGCUUCCACGGCGGUCGCACCCGUGCCCGGACGUACGUAUAUCUGCUUUCGCGUGUAG
Molecule: unclassified non-coding RNA, 3793 nt
Filed under: Leishmania donovani
Lineage: Eukaryota; Euglenozoa; Kinetoplastea; Trypanosomatida; Trypanosomatidae
Description: gene:LdHU3.05.0180(CDS-product:nucleolar_RNA_heli case_II_putative)
Source: RNAcentral